This 446-nucleotide ribosomal RNA is filed under the name uncultured bacterium. Its description in RNAcentral is "partial 16S ribosomal RNA". It matches the Rfam family "Bacterial small subunit ribosomal RNA", at positions 338 to 795 of the family's 1533-position model. The record is from RNAcentral.
CCUACGGGAGGCUGCAGUCGAGAAUCAUUCACAAUGGGGGAAACCCUGAUGGUGCGACGCCGCGUGGGGGAAUGAAGGUCUUCGGAUUGUAAACCCCUGUCAUGUGGGAGCAAAUUAAAAAGAUAGUACCUCAAGGGGACGAGACGGCUAACUCGGUGCCAGCGGCCGCGGUAAACCAGAGGUCUCACGCGUUGUUCGGAUUUACUGGGCGUAAAGCGUGCGUAGGCGGUUUCUGAAGUCGUGUGUGAAAGGCGCGGGCUGAACCAGGGGACGGCCCAUGAUACUGGGAGACUAGAGUUAUGGAGAGGGAAGCGGAAUUCUCGGUGUAGCAGUGAAAUGCGUAGAUAUCGAGAGGAACACUCGUGGCGAAGGCGGGUUCCUGGACAUUAACUGACGCUGAGGCACGAAGGCGAGGGGAGCGAAAGGGAUUAGAUACCCCUGUAGUC